GAUGCAUCAUUUAUGCUCUUGUGACAUGUAUGUAAAGUUAGUGCAUUAGUUUAUGUAGCAACCAUUCAUCAUCUUAUUGCCUUAAAAAAAAAAAAAGUAGGAAACUUUCACUGUUACUAGAUGAGUUCCCUGUGUACUCAGCAUGGACACACUGGCAUGGUUAUAGACCAAAUUAUAGACCAGUGUCACCCAAGUUAUCUAGAAAGACUCUUCUUAUCUGAUAGCCUCUCCUUGUCCAGGUGUAUCAAGUAAGCUUG
Molecule: long non-coding RNA, 257 nt
Filed under: Bos taurus (domestic cattle)
Lineage: Eukaryota; Metazoa; Chordata; Mammalia; Artiodactyla; Bovidae
Description: long non-coding RNA NONBTAT019688
Source: RNAcentral